This 1151-nucleotide long non-coding RNA is filed under the name Anser brachyrhynchus (Pink-footed goose). RNAcentral describes it as "lncRNA (ENSABRG00000011542.1)". The record is from RNAcentral. Lineage: Eukaryota; Metazoa; Chordata; Aves; Anseriformes; Anatidae.
CUGGGAGGCAACAGUUUUGUUCCGACACAGUAUUCUGAUGGUAUUUUUUUCCUGAAAGCAAGAAAAAUGAUUAGUAUUACUUCUGAACAUUUUAGACUGUGAAGAGUCAGACUUUUUAGUGUCACUAAUAAACACCAGCCUUGGGCAAAAGGGAGUUGAGCAGCUUUCUCCUGUUUAUCUCUUACACAAACUAUGUGGACAGAGGUUUACAGGCUUGGUAUCAGAGGUUGCCGAGGGAGGGAUUCUUGUCUUGACAGGACGGCCCUGCUUUGGCAGCAGAACUGAAUCUUGAAGGCCAUGGUGCCCGAGUGAAAAAUUUUGCUUCAUUAGGUGUAUAAUGAAUACUAAAGUUAACGCCCCAGAAUAUGAUAAUGAGCUUAAUGAAGUACUUGCUAAACAUACACGACUAUUGUACUUAACUCUCCACCCAUAGACGUCACCCCAGGGAGGGAACAGAUAAGGUUAGGAUAUAAAAGACUGUUAGAAGUUUGUGUAAGGAAAAAAAAAAAAAGAGUUAAUGUUAGGGAAAAAAAAAAGUUAGAGUGAGGAAAAAAGAAGAGUGGGGGAGAGAAAGAAGAAAUUUGGAAAUCUAGAAGAAGCAGAUGACGGGCUGUGCUCCACCAGGACAGGGAUGCCUUCUUGAACUCACUAAAACCUCUACUGGACACACCGCAUGGAUUAGUAGUGAUGGAACAUGGACUACAGACUUACCUGUGAGAAGUCAGCGAUGCCAAUACGUGCUGGAAGUGUUAACACUUUGCCACCUCUGGAGAGAACAACACCUUGCACCGGCUCCAUGGGGACGAACCAAAAGUAAUGAAGUAGCAAAGAGAAGUCCAAUGGCAAUCAAAAGGGACUUCAGGGCCUUGGUACAACUGGUUGAAGGACCAGGGGCAAAGUGGAGCCAGGAGUGGGUCAGAGAUCCUUGUGCAUCUCUUUCAACUCAGAAUAUUCUGUGAUUCUAUGAUUUAUUUUUGCCUGUAUAAUAUACCCACAAUGGUAAAUAGAUGCUGAAACCUUUGCUGUUUUUUGAAGUGACAGAUCAUUGCCAGAGUAUGAUCCGCAUUAAAUGAAAACUGUUAAUAAUGCAUCAGACACAAUCAUUCAAAACAUUAUCAAAGUUUCCUCAUGUGGUCAUUUGUAUUAUCGAU